AAUCUUUUGGACGUCCCGCUGGCCGGCACGCCUAACACAUGACACGUCGAACGCAGUAGCAAUACUGAGUGGCAAACGGGUGAGUAUAAUGUGGGAAUCUGCCUUUUGGUUUGGAAUAACACGGGGAAACUUGUGCUAAUACCGAAUAAGCCUUUACAGGGAAAGUUUUAAUGCCAAAAGAUGAGCCCGCACUUGAUUAGCUAGUUGGUAAGGUAAAAGCUUACCAAGGCAAUGAUCAAUAGCUAUUCUUAGAGAAAGACCAGCCACAUUGGGACUGAGACGCGGCCCAGACUCCUACGGGAGGCAGCAGUGGGGAAUCUUGCACAAUGGGGGAAACCCUGAUGCAGCGAUGCCGCGUGAGUGAAGAAGGCCUUUGGGUUGUAAAACUCUUUCGUCGGGGAAGAAAAUGACUGUACCCGAAUAAGAAGGUCCGGCUAACUUCGUGCCAGCAGCCGCGGUAAUACGAAGGGACCUAGCGUAGUUCGGAAUUACUGGGCUUAAAGAGCUCGUAGGUGGUUAAAAAAGUUGAUGGUGAAAUCCCAAGGCUCAACCUUGGAACUGCCAUCAAAACUUUUUAGCUAGAGUGUGAUAGAGGUAAGUGGAAUUUCUAGUGUAGAGGUGAAAUUCGUAGAUAUUAGAAAGAACACCAAAUGCGAAGGCAACUUACUGGGUCACUACUGACCCUGAGGAGCGAAAGCAUGGGUAGCGAAGAGGAUUAGAUACCCUCGUAGUCCUGCCGUAAACGAUGUGUGCUAACUUGGAAAUUAUUUUUCA
This 774-nucleotide ribosomal RNA is filed under the name uncultured bacterium. Its description in RNAcentral is "bacterial SSU rRNA". It matches the Rfam family "Bacterial small subunit ribosomal RNA", at positions 19 to 844 of the family's 1533-position model. The record is from RNAcentral.